Molecule: ribosomal RNA, 1004 nt
Filed under: uncultured bacterium
Lineage: Bacteria
Description: bacterial SSU rRNA
Rfam family: Bacterial small subunit ribosomal RNA
Source: RNAcentral
AUUGAACGCUGGCGGCAGGCCUAAGACAUGCAAGUCGAGCGAGAAAGCCCUUCGGGGUGAGUACAGCGGCGGACGGGUGAGUAACGCGUAGGAAUCUACCUAGUAGUGGGGGACAACUCGUGGAAACGCGAGCUAAUACCGCAUACGCCCUACGGGGGAAAGCGGGGGAUCUUCGGACCUCGUGCUAUUAGAUGAGCCUGCGUAAGAUUAGCUAGUUGGUGGGGUAAUGGCCUACCAAGGCGACGAUCUUUAGCUGGUCUGAGAGGAUGAUCAGCCACACCGGGACUGAGACACGGCCCGGACUCCUACGGGAGGCAGCAGUCGGGAAUAUUGCGCAAUGGGCGAAAGCCUGACGCAGCCAUGCCGCGUGUGUGAAGAAGGCCCUAGGGUUGUAAAGCACUUUCAAUUGGGAGGAAAAGCUAACGGUUAAUAGCCAUUAGCCCUGACGUUACCUUUAGAAGAAGCACCGGCUAACUCCGUGCCAGCAGCCGCGGUAAUACGGAGGGUGCAAGCGUUAAUCGGAAUUACUGGGCGUAAAGCGCGCGUAGGCGGUUUUUUAAGUCGGAUGUGAAAGCCCCGGGCUCAACCUGGGAAUUGCAUCCGAUACUGGAUGACUAGAAUGCGGGAGAGGGAGGUAGAAUUCCAUGUGUAGCAGUGAAAUGCGUAGAUAUAUGGAGGAAUACCAGUGGCGAAGGCGGCCUCCUGGCUCGACAUUGACGCUGAGGUGCGAAAGCGUGGGGAGCAAACGGGAUUAGAUACCCCGGUAGUCCACGCCGUAAACGAUGUCUACUAGCUGUAGGGGUACUUGAGACCUUUGUAGCGCAGCUAACGCAAUAAGUAGACCGCCUGGGGAGUACGGCCGCAAGGUUAAAACUCAAAUGAAUUGACGGGGGCCCGCACAAGCAGUGGAGCAUGUGGUUUAAUUCGAUGCAACGCGAAGAACCUUACCAGGCCUUGACAUCCCCGGAACUUUCUAGAGAUAGAUUGGUGCCUUCGGGAACCGG